Molecule: long non-coding RNA, 373 nt
Filed under: Bos taurus (domestic cattle)
Lineage: Eukaryota; Metazoa; Chordata; Mammalia; Artiodactyla; Bovidae
Description: long non-coding RNA NONBTAT001579
Source: RNAcentral
UGCUUUUAUGAGUUCUUUCUGAAGCCUUGAUUUUUAUUUUGAUUCAGAUUUAGUACGUACCUGAGCACGUGCUACUUGCCAAGCACUGGAGUAUACAUUAUAUCUUAAUGUUACCAGGUUCUCAAGAACAAGACAGGGCUGGAGCCUGCCCACGUUGAGAUGCUGGAACUAGAGACGGUAAAGCAACCUAUACACUCAGCCAGGGUGCGCCCCAGGUUCUCAGACUCCAGGCGUCAGGCUGGUCCCAGAUCCUCUAGCCUUUUUCUCGUUCCCAUGAAACAGCUUACAUACCAGCGUUCAUUCUGCCUACAGUGCCAGCAAGAGUAAGGUCAGAUGUCCCAAGAGUGCCCUGCCCUUUCUAAGUAGUAAUGGC